GGAUAACCUGCCCUUGGGGUCCGGGCAUAACCCCGGGAAAANUGGGGAUAAAUACCGGAUAACGCACAUAUGCUGGAAUGCUUUAAUGCGUAAAAUGGAUUCGUCUGCCCAAGGAUGGGUCUGCGGCCUAUCAAGUAGUAGUGGGUGUAAUGUACCUACUAGCCGACAACGGGUACGGGUUGUGAGAGCAAGAGCCCGGAGAUGGAUUCUGAGACAUGAAUCCAGGCCCUACGGGGCGCAGCAGGCGCGAAAACUUUACAAUGCGGGAAACCGUGAUAAGGGGACACCGAGUGCCAGCAUCAUAUGCUGGCUGUCCGGGUGUGUAAAAUACACCCGUUAGCAAGGGCCGGGCAAGACCGGUGCCAGCCGCCGCGGUAACACCGGCGGCCCGAGUGGUGAUCGUGAUUAUUGGGUCUAAAGGGUCCGUAGCCGGUUUGGUCAGUCCUCCGGGAAAUCUGAUAGCUCAACUAUUAGGCUUUCGGGGGAUACUGCCAGACUUGGAACCGGGAGAGGUAAGAGGUACUACAGGGGUAGGAGUGAAAUCUUGUAAUCCCUGUGGGACCACCUGUGGCGAAGGCGUCUUACCAGAACGGGUUCGACGGUGAGGGACGAAAGCUGGGGGCACGAACCGGAUUAGAUACCCGGGUAGUCCCAGCCGUAAACGAUGCUCGCUAGGUGUCAGGCAUGGCGCGACCGUGUCUGGUGCCGCAGGGAAGCCGUGAAGCGAGCCACCUGGGAAGUACGGCCGCAAGGCUGAAACUUAA
RNAcentral lists this ribosomal RNA (764 nucleotides) under uncultured archaeon. RNAcentral's name for it is "bacterial SSU rRNA". It matches the Rfam family "Archaeal small subunit ribosomal RNA", at positions 102 to 859 of the family's 1478-position model. The record is from RNAcentral.